AAGUUUUCUCCUAAAUGUACGACCUUUAUGAUUAAACAUAAUGCCAUGAGACCGCUUAGGCAGUUUGAUGUAGAGGAUUUAGCCACACCCCAGGUGCUGCACACUCACACUGAAGUAUUUAUGUGAUUUUUUUCACAUUUAUUUUGGCUCAUUUUGCAUUUUACAUUUUGGCGUUGCCUAUUGAUUUCAAACCACCCUCUGCCGUUGAUAAUGGAAGAGAUGCCUUUGCAAAAGACACCAGCUUCUUAUUGUUAUUACAAAAGUAAAACCAGCCAGCUGUUUAAUUCAGUUCAGAUAAUAUAAUGGAGAGAAGCUGUUGUUUGUAUGUUCUCAUCUACAUCAUAUUUUGUUCACUGAUGUGGUCAAAUUUAAUGAGUGGGCCUCGUCUGGUUGACAGGUAAUGGAACAGGAGGGUGUUAUUUGGUUCCAUAAUGAUGAAAUUCAACUUUUAUCAGCUUUUUAUAGUUCUGCCCGUCUACCAGCUUCUCUAACAGGAUGACAGGUUACCUAGCCUAUUUAUAGCCUUUUCAUAGGUUUCAUCAGCGUUGGCUUAAAAAAAGACAAAAAACACAUUCACACAGAAAUACAGAUUCAAAAAUUCACUUUUUUUUUUCUUCAUGCUAUGGUGAGGUGCUUUUGUGGUAAUUUCUUAAUUACUGUCUUCAAAAGAAUUCAGUGUUUUUCAUUUAUUUAAUGAAUACGAUUGUAUUGUGUGUUUGUCGCAAAUGGGGAGAAUGUGACAAAUACACUUGACCCAUUAGUGAACGAGAAAUCCUGUAGUUGUUUAAUUAUCCAGUUGGAUAAUUAUUUGUAGUUUUAGUUUUAAACCAUUUACUGCUUCAAGUGAGUUUUUGUUUACGAUCAAUGCUGCAAACAUGCACUGUUUACAAAUCAAGCAGGUUCCUCCUCAAUUGUUAGUUUUUACGCAAGUGUUAUUUCUGAUUGCUUCAAUGUAAAAGAUUAAUACUAAGGAAGCGAGUUGCUUUUCACGGAAAGCCAGAGGAUUUGUCUCACCCGAAUGGCAGAAUUUGUUUAAGAAAAAACAAACGUAAACUGAAUUUUAUUUUAUUAGUGGUAGUACAGUAUUUGCAUAUUAUCUAUCAACUCAAAUGCAAAAAGUGUGUCGAACCUUCCGGCGCAUUGUGGGUCUCCCGUGUGAAACUAAAUGUUGUAAACGUGCAUCUAUGAAUGACUAAUGAAAGAUUUGCGCUCUGUAACUUUUAACUAAUUGUUAUAACACUGUAUCUAACCUGUAACAAGCAGUCAGUGGUUCAGAAAUAUUUGCACUAAAUCUAACAGACAUCAGCUUUGUGGGCGGCACCGUGACUGCUUGUACUUCCUGUUAAUGAGGUUUCAGUCAGUGGCGCUUCCUUUUUCUGUUUAACUAGUUAAUGCUGUUCAUACUCUCAACCUUCUUUACUUUUAACUUCCAAAAAUGUUCUGCCAACAAUAGUUUAGACCGUGGUGAAAACUAGUUGUUUAAAAUAGUAAUUGUUAAAAAAAUAGUAAAAGUUAUAUAGAUAUUCUCCAGUGCUGAAGGCCUUUCAAGAUCACAUUGAUUAUAUUUCCUUAGAGAUGCCAAUCUCAGAUCUGAUUUUAAACCUAUUUCUAGAUAAUCACAACGACUACAUUUGCAAUGACGUUAAUCAUUAGCCCUCAUGGAGGCUUUUAUCAAAUAAUAGUUCAGACUUACAGUAUGGGCUCACAGCACAAAGCUGUCAAAGACAGAAGAGGCGGCCCGGUCUUUGUUGUAAGCCCUCGAAGUAAUGACAAAUCUGGACCUCCUCAGACUCGAAAACUAGGGUUCCAAUUAUGCUCUUUAUUCCCUUGAUGUUUUCUUUGCAUGAGCCAAGAAUAAAAAAGGAAAAAUAUAUUGACACAUCUUGGGCCGGGUUGUUCUUUUUCUUAUUUCUGUAUCAUGCUCCAUCUGAUCGAUUUGAACCUAGUGCUCUUUUUAAAAACAACUGUCGGAAAUUGUAUUUUCUUCCUAAUAAGCUACUUCUCUGAUGGAUGAUCGAAGAAUAUCCCCCCAACUAAUGAGGUUCAAAAACAACAUGCUAUCUGUGAUGUUAUGUGUGUUUCAUGCUGGGAAUCAUAAAUACGUAUGUAAAUAAAUAUAUUACAUACUGAGAUGUACAGGAUAGUAAAUAAGCCUGUUUCUUUAACCUCCUGUAGCGAUUAAACAGUAAAUCAUCUGUUACACUUUGCCAAUUUGCAUUGCGAUGGUAUUACAUGCAAGUAGACAACUCUGAAGAUGAAAUGGACAAAUUCUGCAUGCUGUAUCCUCAUUAUGUCACAGUAUGCAUUGACCUACUUCACAUUAAAAGACUAUCUGGUUGUUGUGCGGCAGGCCAAUUACUUUGUAAUUAUCAUAGAGGAAGAGAGAGUGACAGGGAGCAAACGCAUGAGGAACAGAGUGAGAGACUUGUCAUGUUAGCUCUACAGACCUUGUUCUUCUAAAGCAGUCAAAAAGCUUCAGUUGCGCCCACACACCACUCUGAACACACAGACAAGCACCCGCACACACAGCCUGAGGCACAAUCUUUUUUUUGCGUGGUCAAAAAAAGACCGAAGAGUACUUGCAAACCAGUAUGCAGAAGAUUAUAAAAGCGAAGCUUUAUCAAAAACUCACUUGUGCGGUAAUUGCUCAGCUAAUUGGCCAUUUGCAAAGUCCCGCCCCCAUCAGUUGGACUUGCUAUGACUGUCUUUUCUUCUGGCAUGGGACAUGAUGCAGUUUACGAGGAUAAUGGUAGAGGAGUGAACACUCAAAUUUCUUUGUAUUUUGUGGCAACUGGGCAGGUUUCUCAUUUCUACAAUAACUUUCACUGGCAGAUGUCUAUUGUAGCUAACUACCUAAUUAAGCUCCAUCAGUUGGCUGGGUAACAUGUCGCCGGCUGAUUUAUUUCAUGAAAAGAAAAGUAGCCGGAGUCAGAUGAAUAGCUAUAUACAUUACACCAUGCUAUAAGAUCAAGAAUCAAUGUAUUAGAAAAUAAGUCAGCAGUUGAUACACAAUGCAGAAGACUUAAGGGUAAAGAAACUACAUUAUUGUCCUAGUGUUUAAAAUAUGAUGACAAAAAUACAUAUAUGCUCACUAUUAUUGCCAUCUGACCUAACAUUGUUUGGCUACCAGUAUAAUUCCCACACCAAACCUGGCACAGAGCUUAAAAAAGCAGCAAAGCACAGCCUGAUCUCCAAAACCUGUUCGUAAAAAUGUAUACGAAAAUCUUGAACAUACAAAUUCGUAGUGAUACAUACGAGAUAAAUACGGACUGCAACUGAUGACGUCACCCUAUUCAAAGUGAAUGGGGACCUGCACCCUGUAAACACACUUUGUGAAGUCUAACGAUGUAAAAUAAACGUGUUAUGAUUGCAUUUUUAACGAGAAAUCAAUGUUAAAUUGUAAGAAUACAAUACUAACCCUAACCCCCUCAAAAAAUCCGACAUGGCGGAGAUG
Molecule: long non-coding RNA, 3454 nt
Organism: Gasterosteus aculeatus aculeatus (three-spined stickleback)
Lineage: Eukaryota; Metazoa; Chordata; Actinopteri; Perciformes; Gasterosteidae
Source: Ensembl